Molecule: long non-coding RNA, 673 nt
Organism: Crotalus tigris (Tiger rattlesnake)
Lineage: Eukaryota; Metazoa; Chordata; Lepidosauria; Squamata; Viperidae
Exons: 3
Source: RefSeq, a predicted model, not a curated record
CGGAAAAGGGAUUGCCGCGUUGGAAUGGGAAUCGAAGCGCGAGGUGACGCGGGAAGAUCGGAGGCGGGGCUUGUUCCUUCUUUUCUAGCGUUAGAACCAAUCGUGUUGUUGCCGAGGUCGCUUUUGUGAAAAUGUGACAUCACUCUUCCACUUGGGAUGAAUCGUUGCUUCUCUAGCACUGACAAUCUUACCUUCUUGAAACCAAGGAAACAAAACAACUUUUACUUCUUUGCCAUCCACAUUAUGGUCACUAAGCACUGUAGAAAUUCUACCACCAUUGACUUAAUAACGAGUUAACUUUAACUUGGAUGAUAAUUUUUUUUGUGUUACUUUCAUGAUUAACUUUCAGAGUUUUUCUUUCACGCUAAAAAGUUCUCAGACUGAUACUGUUUUGACCAUCUAUUUUGAUUCCAGGUGACAUCUCUUCCAGAGGUGCCAUUCUUAGAAACUAAAUAUUGCAGGAUAUGAAGACAAUUUUCAUUUGCAUCAGUUUCACUCUUUUCCUUAUCCUGAAACAUUCUGUAAAAAUCCCUGUUUAAUGGAACCUGCUGCGAUUUUGAAUGCAUAGGACUGCAUCGCUGCAGCAGCCAUGGAUGAUAGGGUUGCCAAAGAAUACAACAUAGCUUAAUGAAGACUUCUUACAGAGACAGACCAGAGACAAAACCCUGAGACU